The sequence is a transfer RNA, 82 nucleotides long. It matches the Rfam family "tRNA". From Rfam's summary of the family: Transfer RNA (tRNA) molecules are approximately 80 nucleotides in length. Their secondary structure includes four short double-helical elements and three loops (D, anti-codon, and T loops). Further hydrogen bonds mediate the characteristic L-shaped molecular structure. tRNAs have two regions of fundamental functional importance: the anti-codon, which is responsible for specific mRNA codon recognition, and the 3' end, to which the tRNAs corresponding amino acid is attached (by aminoacyl-tRNA synthetases). tRNAs cope with the degeneracy of the genetic code in two manners: having more than one tRNA (with a specific anti-codon) for a particular amino acid; and 'wobble' base-pairing, i.e. permitting non-standard base-pairing at the 3rd anti-codon position.
UCCGUGAUAGUUUAGUGGCUAGAGUCACCGUUUGUCGUCAGACAGUACAUGGUAGACCGGGGUUCAAUUCCCCGUCGCGGAG